AACGAACGCUGGCGGCAGGCCUAACACAUGCAAGUUGAACGUGAAGCCACUUCGGUGGUGGAAAGUAGCGCACGGGUGAGUAACACGUGGGAAUUUACACUUCAGUACGGAACAACAGUUGGAACCGACUGCUAAUACCGUAUAAUGACUCCGGUCCAAAGAUUUAUCGCUGAAGGAUAAGCCCGCGUCUGAUUAGCUAGUUGGUAGGGUAAGAGCCUACCAAGGCGACGAUCAGUAGGGGGUUUGAGAGGAUGAUCCCCCACACUGGAACUGAGACACGGUCCAG
RNAcentral lists this ribosomal RNA (286 nucleotides) under uncultured bacterium. Its description in RNAcentral is "partial 16S ribosomal RNA". It matches the Rfam family "Bacterial small subunit ribosomal RNA", at positions 29 to 334 of the family's 1533-position model. The record is from RNAcentral.